Molecule: long non-coding RNA, 663 nt
Organism: Perca fluviatilis (European perch)
Lineage: Eukaryota; Metazoa; Chordata; Actinopteri; Perciformes; Percidae
Exons: 3
Source: RefSeq, a predicted model, not a curated record
UUCUUCAAAGGCCUGCUACACACUCACAUUUUGUCAGAAAAAACAAAGCUUGCAAACACUAUACAAGAGAUGUUGUGUGCUUGCCUUUUUCAUCAGCAUCAACAAUUCGCAUUCCAAGGGGAGACUCAAGAGCAAAUUUGGCACGAGAUGGCCUUAUUGGGAAGAUCUCCUUUACAUCUGACUGGUCUGAAGCACAACUUAAAGAAGAAAUGACCGGCCAUUUUCAGAAGAACGUUUGCAUUGUCUAUGCAUUGUCUAUGGGCCAGUCAUUCCCAUUCGAGUAUUUGAGUACAGUCAAGGGAUGCAAAAGACUAAUGAAACCAAACGUCUCGAGCAGUUUUUUGUGAGGUGGAAAAGAAGUUGCCUCGAUUAGUUCAGCCACUUGUCUCUAUAUAAUGGCAUUAAUACGCAAACCUGUACAGGAGGAACCUGAGGAACUCUCCAAUAGUGACUUUGAAAGUCCUGUGGGCUGGAGAAGGAGAGUUCAUACAGUGUCACCUUCCACAAGUGAAAGUGAGCUCAUCAGUCAAGGGAGUGAAAAUGACAGACUGCAAGAAAGUCCAUCGCGUCAAAGAAGAAGUAGGUUAAGCCCACCCCUGCUGCUGCAGGCAAAGCAUAGCUCGUUAGCUCAGCAAGCAAGCAACAUGUCGGUAAAGGAUAUUU